This 595-nucleotide ribosomal RNA is filed under the name uncultured fungus. RNAcentral describes it as "eukaryotic LSU rRNA". The stretch from base 189 to 343 matches the Rfam family "5.8S ribosomal RNA". The record is from RNAcentral. Lineage: Eukaryota; Fungi.
UUAGGGUCUCUCUGGCCCGACCUCCCAACCCUUUGUCUACUUGACCAUCGUUGCUUCGGCGAGCCCGUCCUCACGGACCGCCGGAGGGAUCUUUACUGGCCCUCUGGUCCGCGCUCGUCGGUAGCCCAACCUUUAAAAUCUUUAACUAAACGUGCCUUAAUCUAAGUACAAUUAUUAAAUAAAAGCAAAACUUUCAACAACGGAUCUCUUGGUUCUGGCAUCGAUGAAGAACGCAGCGAAAUGCGAUAAGUAAUGCGAAUUGCAGAAUUCCAGUGAGUCAUCGAAUCUUUGAACGCACAUUGCGCCCUUUGGUAUUCCGAAGGGCAUGCCUGUUCGAGCGUCAUUAUCACCCCUCAAGCCCUCGGCUUGGUGUUGGACGGUUUGGUGGAGGCCCCCUCGGGGGCUCCUGCCCCUCCCAAAGACAAUGACGGCGGCCUCGUUGGACCCCCGGUACACUGAGUUCUUCACGGGACACGUAUCGGACACAUGGGUUUACGGGACACGGUCUGCCUCCCCUCAGGGAGAAUCUUUCUAAGGUUGACCUCGGAUCAGGUAGGGAUACCCGCUGAACUUAAGCAUAUCAUAAGCAGGGGAA